Molecule: ribosomal RNA, 391 nt
Filed under: uncultured bacterium
Lineage: Bacteria
Description: bacterial SSU rRNA
Rfam family: Bacterial small subunit ribosomal RNA
Source: RNAcentral
AUUGAACGCUGGCGGCAUGCUUUACACAUGCAAGUCGAACGGUAACAGGGAGCUUGCUCCGCUGACGAGUGGCGAACGGGUGAGUAAUGCAUCGGAACAUGCCCAGUCAUGGGGGAUAACUACGCGAAAGCGUAGCUAAUACCGCAUACGCCCUGAGGGGGAAAGUGGGGGGAUCUUAGGACCUCACGUGAUUGGAGUGGCCGAUGUCAGAUUAGCUAGUUGGUGAGGUAAAGGCUCACCAAGGCGACGAUCUGUAGCGGGUCUGAGAGGAUGAUCCGCCACACUGGGACUGAGACACGGCCCAGACUCCUACGGGAGGCAGCAGUGGGGAAUUUUGGACAAUGGGCGCAAGCCUGAUCCAGCCAUGCCGCGUGAGUGAAGAAGGCCUCGG